ACUGGACACCUGCAACUGCCUACAGGACUGAAAGCAGGCGACGAAGACUGUGAAGUUUGACGGUCUGGAAAGCAGAGGCCAGCCGCGCUGACUAUCUGGGAGCACCGAGACUCCGGACAGCGCCGCUCGGAGUCCAGGAAGCGAGCCACAAGCUGUUUCAGCACCAGAGCUCCGGACAGCUCCUGGGGAUUUCGGGGCCGACUUCAUUUCAGAACCAAGACGCUGGAUAGCUUCCCUGACAAGCAGGUGAGAUAAAAGUGCAC
This is a long non-coding RNA of Cervus elaphus (red deer), 263 nucleotides long. RefSeq lists it as uncharacterized. Lineage: Eukaryota; Metazoa; Chordata; Mammalia; Artiodactyla; Cervidae. The record is from RefSeq and is a predicted model, not a curated record. The transcript has 4 exons.